This 225-nucleotide long non-coding RNA is filed under the name Elaeis guineensis (African oil palm). Its description in RNAcentral is "long non-coding RNA (EGUI_LNC063166)". The record is from RNAcentral. Lineage: Eukaryota; Viridiplantae; Streptophyta; Magnoliopsida; Arecales; Arecaceae.
UCCUUAGAUUGAUUUUGAUGAUUACAAAGCAUUUGAAGGAGUACUAAUGAUUUUCGCUUGAAAAAGACUUAUUGCUCUUCAGGGGCAAAAUCAUAAUUUUAUCAAAUCCUAAUUUGAAAGCAUCAGGUGAUAGAACAAAAGAUUUGUGAUCCAUUGGUGAAAAUUUUAUUGUUUUUGGAUUUGUAUUUUGAAAGAUAUGCAUGUUUGAAAAACAUGAGUCGACCC